ACAAACAAAUGUCCCAAAGGCUGUCCAGAGAGGAGUGUGCCUGGCUGCACAGCAGUGACUCUGCCAGGCAUGUACAGUUCCUUUUGUUCAGGUCCCAGCUUCACUUCCCGGGAAUAUGGAUUUGCUGAUACAGUAGAGAUGAUAAAUCAGAGGGAGUGUGGAAAAACAAGAUGACUUCAAUUGUCUAAUCUGAAUGUGGAGGUCCUGAGACCGAAUCUCUGGUUGGCAAGAAAGAUAAAGCUGCUUCCCACUUAUGGACUUGAAAGAAAAAUUAUGAAUUGAAAAUUCUUCUGUUUCCUGCUCAGAAUAUUGGACCUUUAACAGGUAAACAGCAAAUUCUUAUACUCUGGAAAGAGAUUUCAAGAACUCUCAGGAAGAAAUAUGGAAGAAUGGGUAGCAGUAGUGGGUGGCCCUGCUUUGGGGGGCAAUCAUGCUAUUAUUAAGUUUUGGUGAAGAUACAUAUAGUAGCAUUCUAUGGGAAGAGAGCCGAUGGAAGAUCUUGUUCUCUGGUUGUUUGCAAGUCUUUACUUAAGCAUAGAAACGUGUUUGGGAUGGUCUCAGCUUGCUUUGAACUCCCUACUCAUUACAGCAGAGAAGGUAACUCCCACGAACAGCAAAGCUUUUUGGGUGUGGGUUUUAGAGAGCUUGAAAAUCAGGAUUAGUGGAGCAGGAGAUCUGCAUUGCCUAGUGACAAAACAGGGCGCUGCAGUCUGUGCUUGGAGCACUUCAGGAAAGAAAAUAGUAGUUGUGUGACUGCUUUACAAAU
Vidua chalybeata is the source of this 766-nucleotide long non-coding RNA. RefSeq lists it as uncharacterized. Lineage: Eukaryota; Metazoa; Chordata; Aves; Passeriformes; Viduidae. The record is from RefSeq and is a predicted model, not a curated record. The transcript is spliced from 3 exons.